AACGAACGCAGGCGGCGCGUCUUAAGCAUGCAAGUCGAACGGUAAGGGAGAGCUUGCUCUCCCCUAGAGUGGCGGACUGGUGAGUAACGCGUGGGUGACCUGCCCUGAAGAUGGGGAUAGCUAGUAGAAAUAUUAGAUAAUACCGAAUGCGCUCAUUUACAUAAAGGUAAAUGAGGAAAGGAGCUACGGCUCCGCUUCAGGAUGGGCCCGCGUCCCAUUAGCUAGUUGGUGAGGUAAAGGCCCACCAAGGCAACGAUGGGUAUCCGGCCUGAGAGGGUGAACGGACACAUUGGGACUGAGAUACGGCCCAAACUCCUACGGGAGGCAGCAGCUAAGAAUCUUCCGCAAUGGACGAAAGUCUGACGGAGCGACGCCGUGUGAAUGAAGAAGGCCGAAAGGUUGUAAAAUUCUUUUGCAGAUGAAGAAUAAGAAGAAGAGGGAAUGCUUCUUUGAUGACGGUAGUCAUGCGAAUAAGCCCCGGCUAAUUACGUGCCAGCAGCCGCGGUAACACGUAAGGGGCGAGCGUUGUUCGGAAUUAUUGGGCGUAAAGGGUAUGUAGGCGGUUAGGUAAGCCUGGUGUGAAAUCUACGAGCUCAACUCGUAAACUGCAUUGGGUACUGCUUGACUUGAAUCACGGAGGGGAAACCGGAAUUCCAAGUGUAGGGGUGGAAUCUGUAGAUAUUUGGAAGAACACCGGUGGCGAAGGCGGGUUUCUGGCCGAUGAUUGACGCUGAUAUACGAAGGUGCGGGGAGCAAACAGG
Molecule: ribosomal RNA, 761 nt
Filed under: uncultured Treponema sp.
Lineage: Bacteria; Pseudomonadati; Spirochaetota; Spirochaetia; Treponematales; Treponemataceae
Description: bacterial SSU rRNA
Rfam family: Bacterial small subunit ribosomal RNA
Source: RNAcentral